GUCAGCAGUCAUACCACCAGCAGUUCAGUCUAGGUCCACCUGAAGCUAAGCAGGUUUGGCCCUGGCCAGUACCUAGUUGGGAGACCAACUAGGAAAGAUUGGUUGAUGCUGGAA
This 114-nucleotide ribosomal RNA is filed under the name Paramormyrops kingsleyae. The record is from RNAcentral. Lineage: Eukaryota; Metazoa; Chordata; Actinopteri; Osteoglossiformes; Mormyridae.